UCGCAAGGCUGAAACUCAAAGGAAUUGGCGGGGGCCCGCACAAGCGGUGGAGCACGUGGUUUAAUUCGAUGAUAAGCGAAGAACCUUACCAGGACUUGACAUGUUUACCUAAGCCUAUGCGAAAGCAAUAGGUGGGGCUAAGCUUGCUUAGAACGGUAUUCACAGGUGCUGCAUGGCGUCGUCAGCUCGUGCCGUGAGGUGUCCGGUUAAGUCCGGUAACGAGCGCAACCCCUAUCUUUAGUUGCCAGCAUUUCGGAUGGGCACUUCUAAAGGGACUGCCGGUGACAAACCGGAGGAAGGUGGGGACGACGUCAAGUCAGCAUGGCCCUUACGUCCUGGGCUACACACAUGCUACAAUGGCUAGUACAAUGGGUUGCCAAAUCGCAAGAUGGAGCCAAUCCCAUCAAAGCUAGUCUCAGUUCGGAUUGCAGGCUGCAACUCGCCUGCAUGAAGCUGGAAUCGCUAGUAAUCGUGGAUCAGCACUGCCACGGUGAAUACGUUCCCGGGCCCUUGCACACACCGCCCGUCACACCACGAAAGUCGGUUCUACCCGAAGUGGCUGUGCUAACCUUACGGAAGCAGCUCCUAAGUAGCUGAUGG
RNAcentral lists this ribosomal RNA (600 nucleotides) under uncultured bacterium. RNAcentral describes it as "bacterial SSU rRNA". It matches the Rfam family "Bacterial small subunit ribosomal RNA", at positions 886 to 1474 of the family's 1533-position model. The record is from RNAcentral.